Molecule: non-coding RNA, 7532 nt
Organism: Macaca mulatta (Rhesus monkey)
Lineage: Eukaryota; Metazoa; Chordata; Mammalia; Primates; Cercopithecidae
Source: RefSeq, a predicted model, not a curated record
CUCCUGCCUCGGCCUCCCAAAGUGCUGGGAUUAUAGGCGUGAGCCAUCAUACCCAGCCCUCCUUAAUUUUUUAACAUGAAUUAAUAGGACUUGGACACACAUAGCCUCAUUUAUAUGGGCAGCCAUCACAGCCUGCCACGUAUCAGAUGAGGUCUCUGGGGCUCUCACUCCUUGCAUCGGGACUGAUGCCACAUGUGGCCCAGCUGUAGGUCACAUUCAUCUCCUGCGUUCUCCGGGAUCAGAUGGAAUACCAGCACAUCUACCCUCGUGUGCCCUGGGAGUUUGUAAUAAUGUAUGAAUAUGUAGAUUUAUUUCAGAGAACAUUUUCAGAAUCCUGUUGCGCAUGUGCACAAAAAUAUUGGCUGCAGUGUGUUUAUAACCAUGAAAACUCCAAAAUAGCUUCAAUCUCCUGUGAAAGGGGAGUGGUUGAAGGCCCUCCAGCACGUGCACAGAAUUCUUUCUUCAGCCAUUGAAACAUGAAAAUGACGGUUAAAAAUGACUCCAUUAUGGGGAAAAGGGACAGGAUGCAAAUGGCAUGAUGAUAUGAUGGCACGAUGUAUGAUAAGGAAAGAAAAAGAUGUUGUAAAAGGUCACAUAAAGUCACCCGCAGAUCAGCAGUCAUGCCAUGAUUAGCUGCUCUGUGCCAGACACACAGGCUGCAAAUUGUAGCUGCUCACCCCAGGAAGUGGGCAGCUGCCCCUCUGUGCCUCCGUUGCCUCUGUUAGGCUCCUGGAAGCCCCCUUCAUUGCUGUGUAAUGACAUCUUCAUCACCACAUGUAACAGCUUCUUUACCACUAUGUGCAAUGUCAUUCUGUGUGCCUCUUGGGCUAAACCAUCACAGAGGAAAAGAGUGCUGGAGAAAUGCCAGGGAUAUCGGUACGGAAAUGUUCCAGAUGGAAAGUCUCGGCUUCAGGUGACCGUAGCAGUGAAUGUCAGGGUCAAACAGGGGGUGUAUUCUUGGGAGAGCGUCAGCUCGUCUGUGACCUAGUGUUCAGCCGGCUUCCCGGAAAGGAGGCUGCAUCCUGACAUUGAAGCCCUGUGUGCUAGGAUGAGUGUGUUACGCAGAGCCUUACACAUGAGAAAAUCUUGCAUCCUCAGGACAGGCGGUUAGUGUUGCUGUCUGGAAUCCACCGGCUACGUCCCUCCUCCCUCCACCACUUAAAAUUCCCUGAAUCUGACAGUGGUAGGGAAAGGGCUGAUCCUGGAGAAGAUUGUUCCUUGAUAAUCCUAGUAUGAUUCAUAAUGGUUGCAGCAGAUGAGCCCUGAGGUCCGUGGCUCAGUCUGCAGCUGAGGAAGGCUCUUCCCUGGGGAGGUGUGUCCAGCUUCUCGGGAAGACCUCAGCUGUCUGGCUGGCCUGGGCUGCCCAGUUCUUAGCAGUGCGUCAGUGAUCAGCAGCCCCUGACCAUCAGACAGCGUUUCCCGCCUGCCAGAGAACGUCGGAGCCACUGCGUCUGGACCAGCUGAAGGCAGCCACGGUGCCCAGGAUGCUGCUGCUGCCUCCAAGGAAAAGAAUUCUGAAAAUGAGGAAUUACAGCCUGGUGGUUUUGUUUUAUGUUUAUUAAUUUUUUUACAUCUGGAAGAUAAUGGAAAAAUUAAAAAUUGCUAUAAUUGCACCAAUUUUAAAAGUUAAUAAUAUAAAGAAGGGAGAGUCACCAACACCAGCUUGAAACCCAUCCCGCCCCUUCUUGAGAUAAUACCUGUUAUCAAUUUGGUGAUUUAUGCAAACGUAGUGGUGUACUGUUAAACUUCUCAAGAGGAGAAACAAAAACCCUGAAUUGUAGGUUUGUCGAUUUCAAUGGUGAAAUCCCACUGCAGCCGGUUUCAGGCAACCAAAGCUUUAAAAGCCAGUUCGCAAAAUUCUUGAAUAUUUAAUAAUCAGCUUUUGCAAGUGCAUACAUGCUCACAGCGUUUGCUUUUUGUACUUCAUUUUGAGGGAGGCAGGAAAUGGAAACUUGCAAUGGUAUUGGUAAGCAUGCCAUUUUUAUUUACGGUAUCACCACGUCUUCCCAGACUAGCAUGUGCAGAUUCACUUAGCUCCUCUCACUUGUGGGAUGGAGUUUCCAUGAAGGCGCACUGUGUUGCUUCUGGAAGGGCAGAAUCGGCCCCCCAGGAGAGGGGAGUGGCAGCAGCUUAGCACUCGGAGGUUAGCUCCUGCAAUGCUAUCCACAUUUGGCGUUUACUUGGAGUUCACUCUAGCUUCUGGUUUCUUCUAAAUAUGUUCUUCCAAUAACCUGUGGCCUAAUCAACGUUGCUGGUGAUACAUCCCUUUGCUCUGUUCAAUUCCAGUUUCCAUCAGAGAAUCUCAUUUUUCUUUUGGGAAAUGUUUCCUGAUUUUCUUCUUUUCCACCACCCCUCCCUGAGGCUGGGUAAAGUGCUUCUUCUGCAAUGAUGCUUAGAACCCAGGCCUCCUUCUGUGACAGGGCUCUCUGCACCUUAUGGUUUAUUGUGUGAUGUCUCAGCCUGUUUCCUGCAGAGAAGCAGAGAAGUUCUGGUGAACAGAAUGGCCCUCUAAAGAUGCCCACGCCCUAAUCUCUGAUGUUAUGCCUAUGAAUGAAUAUGUUACUUUAUAUGGCAAAGGGGACUUUGCAGAUGUAAUUAAGGUUACGAAUCAAUUGACUUCUAAUAGGGAGAUUAUCCUUGGUUAUCCAGGUGGGCCCAAUCCAAUCACAUGGGCCCUUAAAAGCAGAGAUUUUCUCUGACUGUGCUGAGGAAGAUGCCGUGAACGAUUCUAAGUGUGAGAAGGAUUUGAUGUGCCACUGCUGGCUCUGAAAUGUGGGGCCCACUUGUAGGAACUGGAGGGAGAGACUGGUUGCUAAGGGUGGCCCCUAGCUAACAGCCAACAGAGAAAUGGGGACCCCCCCAAUCCUACAGCUGCAGGGAACUGAUUUCAGAACAUGAAUAAGUUUGGAAGAGGAUCCUUCCAGAACCUCCUGAUAGGAGUCCAGUCCGCUGUCACCUUGAAUUCAGCUUCGUGAACCAGGAGCAGGGAAACCAGCUGAGCCAACCCACUCUCUGACCUAAGGAGCACCGAGUUGAGGACGUGGAAGUGCUGAGAUGCAACAUAAGUUCCCCCAAAUUACUCAGCUACUUGAGGCACAGCUGACAUCCAGAAGCUUCUCCGGAAAGGCUUUUGGAGUUCCCCAAGGCAGAGUCAACAAGAACAUGAGAAAUUUCACCAAAGCUCAGAGAUGUUAAGUAAUUUCCUUAAGAUGGCACAGCACAUGAAAAGACAAUCCGGCAUUUGAACCUGGCACUCUGGUUGUGAAACACUGGUCUAUAGCCACCUUGCUACCCAUUUCUUCCCCCUAGCCUUUGGAAUAUUGUGUUCCCCUAAUUAUUAUGGUAGUGAGGACAACCACGUGAUGAUGAUGAUGAUGAUGAGGAUGACGACAAUGACAGUGAUGGCGGUGGUGAAGGAGGAAGACAUGCCCUCAUUUCGUAUAGCAAUCUGCUUCUUGCUGGGAUUUCAAAUCCAUUUUCAUUGUUGAUCCUGAGAGCAAGCCUUGGAGGGGGAGUCACUUUGAAAUCCCAGGAAACUGGGCCUUAAGAGGCGGCUGAAGACCCAUGAAUUCAUGCGGUAGAGUCUGCGAGGCCCAGAGCGGAAGAGGAGGACAUGGGUGUAGCAGCCCACACUGCUGUGCCUACAGCUCCGGAUCCUGACUGUGUGAGUGGGCCCAAGGCUGCUGGAACCUCUGGGGCUAUAGCAAGAAGGGUGAGGAGGUUGCCCCACUCCUGCUGCCUUCAUGAACAUUGGUUGUUCCCUCAGGACAGGAAAUUGAGGCUGUUCCCUUGACCUCUCCAGACAACUUCGUGGUGACUUCAAGCCCUCUUAUGAGGUGGUGGAUCAUAGCUACCGUUGAUUGAGAGCCAGUCUUGGUGCUCUGUGUUCACCUGAUUCAUCUGAGGGACUGCAUCUACCCUGCCCUUGCCAUAGUUCCUGCCCUGUUUGCUUCUCCUGUUGCUGCUAGUGGACAUUGCCUAGUUCUGUGAUGAGCUCUUCACACCUGUGCCCAUAUGGACUGUGGGAGAGUUUGUCUGAUAUGGACCGUGAUGCGGGAAACUGCCAAAUUGUCUUCCAAAGUGGCUACAUCAUUUUGCAAUCCCACCAACAAUGAGAGUCCCUGUUGCUGCAAAUCCUCCACCAGAAUUUGGUAUUCAUGUUUUGGAUUUCAGCAUUCUAAUAGAAGGACAGAAUAAUGGGCUCCAGAUUCGCAAGCCCCACCAAGAGGAUCACCCCAGGAACCCUUGGAGGCUGAGGAAUUCACUGAGGCUAGUGCAUCUCGAGACUCAGGAUGAAGACCCAACUUGGGGCUGUCAAAGGUGCAACCUGCCAGCUGAGACCUCCAAGGGUCGAGCCCGGGCCCCUUUGCCUUGUUCAUGGCUUAGGCCAGUGCUUAGCAUAUAGUAAACAACUUGUAAAUGUUUAUGAGAGGAUGUGUGGGGGGUCAUCCCUUCGGAAUGGCACACUGUCCAUUAUCAUUGUCCUCAGAGGCUCCAGCCUCAGGUGCUUCUUAAACUUCGAUGGGAAUGAUGGCAGCAGGUGGGUCCAGGGCUCAGCACGAGAGCUCACAGCAGGCUGUGCUCCACCCCACGCAGGCCCCCAGUCUUGCCAUGUUUCCUCUGCCUCACCAGGCUGGCCUAGAAACUGCUUCCAACUGAAGCCAGCCAACAUGCCUGCCCCUAACCACACCUGCAACUCUAGGGUCACCGUUAGUCUAGAUUAGGGGCCCUUAAACUGUAGCCUUUGCCAGGCAUGGUGGCUCAUGCCUGUAAUCCCAGAACUUUAGGAGGCCGAGGCGGGUGGAUCACUUGAGGUAGGAAGUUCGAGACCAGCCUGGCCAACAUGGCGAAACCCCGUCUCUACUAAAAAUACAAAAAUUCGCCAGACAUGGUAGCGCACACCUGUAAUCCCACCUACUUGGAAGACUGAGGCAAGAGAAUCGCUUGAACCUAGGAGGUGGAGGCUGCAGGGAGCUGAGAUCACACCACUGAACUCCAGCCUGGGCAACAGAGUGAGACUCCCUCUCAAAACAAACAAACAAACAAACAAAGAAACACUACAGCCUUUGGGCUAAAUCUGGUCAGUGUUCUGUGCUUGUAAGAACUCUGAGUUAAGAACAAUUUUUACGUCUCUCUAAAGGGUUGAAGAAUACAAAAAGAAUAUUUAACAGAGACCAUCUGGCUAGCAAAGCCUAAAAUAUUGACCCUCUGGUCCUUUACAGAAAAGGUGUGCCGGUCACUGGACUGGGCAGUGCCGACGGCACCCCGGGCUCCCUGUGAAAAUUUCAACCAUACACACUCAUCUCCUUUCUCUUAUCAACACUGAGGCAGGUGAGAUUAUCAUUCCUUGUAAACAUGGAGAAACUAAGGCACAGAGAGGCUUAACUCAUUUACCUGAGAAUCUAUUAAGUAACAGAGCCAGGGUUCCAACCCAGGCAGUCUAGCUUCAGAGUCCAUACCUCCUAGCUGCACUCUGGGCCAUCAGCGUAGGGACGAGCUUCAGACAAGAACUCCCCUCUUAGUUUCCACCCUAUCCUGCCCCACAGCCAGUGGACAGGCAUUUUGCACCCCAGCCUCCCCCAGCCAGCUCCUCCUCAGAGAUUUCCUGCAGGGACUUAGACGGGGCUCUGGGACCACCCUCCUUUUCUGCCCCACCCGGCACCUGGAACUCUGCUUGAUCCUGCUCCCUCUAAGGCUGGACACGUCUCCAUGAGCCAGGCCUGAAGUUGUUCCCCUCUCUGGACCUCAGGACCUCCCUUCCUAGGAGCAAUUCCUGUAUCCCCUAUCCUCUCUGCCUUCCCCUCUUCCCACCAUGUCCUUCCAAUAAGGGGCUGGAUUUGUAGUGUGCAGCCUUGGGAACAGGGUUGGGCUCAGGGAUUGGGAGCAGAGGCCCAGGGCUCUGACUGACCCUCUGUCAUCCCCAGGAGGAGAAGCUGCUGUAUUUAGAGUGUCACAAAGAAUAGUGUUGGAGGCUUCAGAAACCACGGGAGAUUCUGAACUUCUAGGCUAAGCAGAUGGGAUGGUGCCUCUGUGAUCAACAGGCCUGGUAGAGGGAGGCAGGAGGGGGUGAGAAUGGAAAGACAGCUGCCAAGGGGAACAGAGAGCUUUUCAAGUCACCGUUGUCCCCUCCCCACCUCACCAUCAGGGCUAAGACUAAACCUAACCAUCCGGUUGCAGCCCCUCGGCCCUGGGGAUGGAGAUUAGUGUGCAUAGAAUGAAGGUACAGAGGCCAUGUUCUGGCUGUGUGACCUUGCACAGGUUGCAUAACACUCUGUGCCUCACUUUACUCAUUUUUAAAAUGAUGAAGAUGAUAACUACCUGGCAGGGUCUUAUAUUAGAGAUAAUACGGUUCCCAGCACUUUGUAAGCACUCGGUGUGAAAUUGUCUUCUGCUGCUUCCCUUCAUCAGUCCACCCCUCCUCUGCAGAGGUUUCCUCCAUGCUGAGCAAGCUGGCAGUAACUAAGGCCCUGCUGGGCGCAUCCCUAGUGCCUUCUGCCCAGGCCUCGGGACCCCCAGGGAUCCUGGCCCCUGUGGACAGGGACUUUUGUGCUCUCCGUCACUGUUACCAGCAAGAGUGAGUCCUGCACUGAAUUUCCAUGGGAUCAUUGUUUGCUAACAUUUGUGUGUGAGUUACCGUCUAGAAAGCAGCUUUUCUGGCCUUUUCCCAUUAAUUUCACGAAAGUUAUCUUCCUUUGCCGUUACUGCAGUCCUGUGAGAGGUUCAUUACCCCAUUUUACAAACAACUAAUGCUCCCAGAUGAAGUGACUCCCCCGGGGUCGCCUAGCUAAGCAGUGGAGAGUGGGUCUCCCACCCGGCCCUCUCACUGUGACUCCUGUUCUCCGCGUCAUUGCAUAUGGCGACAUGUGGGUCACGUUUUCACACAUCCCUGGCUGAUAUGGAAUGGUGAGCUUUUCCUGGGUCUUCCGAGGAGGGAUGCUUUCAGGGGUGUUUUGGAAUGAAGGCAGUGGAGGCCAAGAGACCUCUAGGUCAAAGCCAGGCAGGAGGGUCCUCUCAGGGACCCAGCCAACAAGUUGCAUUUCUCCCUCAGAGGCUUGAAGAGGCAGAACACCCGAGAGGAGUCUGGGGCCACCACCCAGCGUCACUGGGAAAACGGCAGCAGGAAAUGUCCUCUCACCUGCGUGCUCCACCUCUGUCCACGCCUUCCCUCCUUCUGGAAGCCUUGCCUGACCACUGGCCUGCCCCUUCUAUGGGAAUCGCUGCUGACCUUGCAGCUCACUGUAGACUUAUAUGUAUGCAGAAAUAUAAUUUUAAUUACUUUUGUAUUGCUCCAAGAGUGAUACCGAAUCACAACAGAAAAUUUAAAUAAACAAACUAGCCAAAUUAAUACAAGCAAUCACCCCAGUCAAAUACACCCAGCUCACAUUUUGAUGUAAAAUCUUCCAGUACAUUUCCUAUGUACAUAUAUAUUUUUAGGAAGGAGAUUAUAUUUUACAUGCUGUUUUCUAAAACGUUCUUUUAAAACUGUGUCAUAAACAUUUUUCCUUAUAAUUAAAUCGUCUUCUACAACGAAA